This 657-nucleotide ribosomal RNA is filed under the name Gigaspora gigantea. RNAcentral's name for it is "eukaryotic LSU rRNA". It matches the Rfam family "Eukaryotic large subunit ribosomal RNA", at positions 61 to 628 of the family's 3401-position model. Lineage: Eukaryota; Fungi; Glomeromycota; Glomeromycetes; Diversisporales; Gigasporaceae. The record is from RNAcentral.
GAAACUAACAAGGAUUCCCCUAGUAACGGCGAGUGAAGCGGGAAGAGCACAAAUUUAAAAUCUACCUGGUUUUCAGGUCGAGUUGUAAUUUGAAGAUACGUUUUUGACGUUCUGGGUUGGACUAAAUCCUUUGGGAUAAGGUAUCAUAGAGGGUGAGAAUCCCGUAUAUACCAACCGUAGGGAUGUUAUUAAAUACGUUUCUAAGAGUCGAGUUGUUUGGGAAUGCAGCUCUAAAUGGGUGGUAAAUUUCACCUAAUGCUAAAUAUAAGCGAGAGACCGAUAGCGAACAAGUACAGUGAUGGAAAGAUGAAAAGAACUUUGAAAAGAGAGUUAAAUAGUACGUGAAAUUGUUGAAAGGGAAACGAUUGAAGUCAGUCGUGCCGGCGGGAAUCAACUUAGGGGAAACUCUGGGUGCACUUCUUCGUUUGGCAGGUUAGUGUCGAUUUUGGAUGUCAUAAAAUAAUUGGGGGAAGGUAGCUCCUUCGGGAGUGUUAUAGCCCUUGGUAGAUGUGAUGUCUGGGAUCGAGGAUUGCAACGGAUACCCUUCGGGGCUAACCGCCUGAUCUCUAAUUGGUGUUGGGUUACGGAUAGCAUGCUGACCGUGAUCUAAUUACUGGUUAAAAGGUUAGAGCGUGCAUAAAUUCGUUAAGGACGUUG